Long non-coding RNA from Lucilia cuprina (Australian sheep blowfly), 945 nucleotides. RefSeq lists it as uncharacterized. The record is from RefSeq and is a predicted model, not a curated record. NCBI's taxonomy places the organism in Eukaryota, Metazoa, Arthropoda, Insecta, Diptera, Calliphoridae. The transcript has 3 exons.
AAUGCCGUUAGUUGGCGUUCUCAAAUUCAAUUGUUCGAACUUCGAGUUUCGAAGAUAUCUUUCACAAUGUUGCCAAUAUUAGUCAAAUAAAACGCACGCAAGAAUUUAACAAGGACCUACGCAGUUAUAUUAAAAUCAUUUUGCAUCUUUUCUAUUCAUCACCCGAACCGAAAAAUUCCUAUGUAAUGAAGGCCAAAUCCACAAAAAGUAUUUUUUAUAUAGAUAUUUUUUUUAUAAAAGGGACGUUAUUUCACAAAUCCAUCGAUAUAAAGGUACCAAUAAAUGUUGAUAAAACUGUAUAAAAGAUUUCAAGCUUUCAUAUGAUAUAUGGAUACUAUACAUAUGUGUAAAAAGGGCUAAGUUAUUAAAGCACUAUGUUGGCAGUAUUGAUCAUUCAACGACAGAGCCAUGUGCCGAUAAAUAUUAAAAACGAGUCUGUCGAUACUAAAAAUUCGGCGGCGGCUUAAAAUCGAUGUAAGCCAGUUAAAGGUAGUAUAACCAUCGGAUCGUUUUUGAUUUAAAAUUGGAGGUCCACACCACGCGUUCUCUGUCAAAAAAGUAGAAUCAAUAAGCCGUCUUAAGCUAAACAUUGUUUUUGCGGGGGCAGCUUUGAAAUUUUGUACGACCUUAAGCCCAAUAAGCAUUUUUUUAAGCCGAAUCGGCGCGGAACUGUGUUCAAAGCAGCUGUCAAAGUAGCGGCAUUGUUGCGAGAUGCCAUAUUGUGGUUAUAUUCGAAAAAAUGUGCAAUACUACCAGAUGUACGGCAAUUGAUUUGUUUAAUUAAAUAAUAGAACUCGAUAUCGGUUGGUGUCUUUGCUAAGCAAUGAGUUGCCAAUUAUAUUUUAAUGUAUUUGCCAGGGUUGUAUUUUUUUGCGUUGGAAACUGAACAUGUUAAUAUGAACAUCAAUGUAAUACUUGAAAGAGGUUCAUUAAUAAAGGUUUAAC